RNAcentral lists this ribosomal RNA (232 nucleotides) under uncultured bacterium. RNAcentral's name for it is "partial 16S ribosomal RNA". It matches the Rfam family "Bacterial small subunit ribosomal RNA", at positions 118 to 350 of the family's 1533-position model. The record is from RNAcentral.
UGGGCAACCUGCCCCUGGCUUUGGGAUAACUCCGGGAAACCGGAGCUAAUACCGGAUACGAGACCGAUUGGCAUCAAUACGGUCUGGAAAGUUUUUCGGCCAGGGAUGGGCUCGCGGCCUAUCAGCUAGUUGGUGUGGGUAAUGGCCCACCAAGGCGACGACGGGUAGCCGGCCUGAGAGGAUGAUCAGCCACAUUGGGACUGAGACACGGCCCAGACUCCUACGGGAGGCA